UAACCUGGAGGAAGGUGGGGAUGACGUCAAAUCAUCAUGCCCCUUAUGCUUAGGGCUACACACGUGCUACAAUGGGUAGUACAGAGGGUUGCCAAGCCGUAAGGUGGAGCUAAUCCCUUAAAGCUACUCUCAGUUCGGAUUGUAGGCUGAAACUCGCCUACAUGAAGCUGGAGUUACUAGUAAUCGCAGAGCAGAAUGCUGCGGUGAAUGCGUUCCCGGGUCUUGUACACACCGCCCGUCACACCACGGGCGUUGGAGACGCCCGAAGCCGAUUAUCUAACCUUUUGGAAGAAGUCGUCGACGGUGGAAUCAAUAACU
This 318-nucleotide ribosomal RNA is filed under the name Clostridioides difficile. Its description in RNAcentral is "bacterial SSU rRNA". It matches the Rfam family "Bacterial small subunit ribosomal RNA", at positions 1159 to 1476 of the family's 1533-position model. The record is from RNAcentral. Lineage: Bacteria; Bacillati; Bacillota; Clostridia; Peptostreptococcales; Peptostreptococcaceae.